RNAcentral lists this transfer RNA (69 nucleotides) under Scinax boulengeri (Boulenger's snouted treefrog). RNAcentral's name for it is "tRNA-Val". It matches the Rfam family "tRNA". From Rfam's summary of the family: Transfer RNA (tRNA) molecules are approximately 80 nucleotides in length. The record is from RNAcentral. Lineage: Eukaryota; Metazoa; Chordata; Amphibia; Anura; Hylidae.
CAAAACGUAGCUUAACUAAAGCCUCUCGCUUACACCGAGACUAUACUUGUUAAACUCAAGUCGUUUUGA